GAUGAACGCUGGCGGCGUGCCUAAUACAUGCAAGUCGAGCGAACAGACGAGGAGCUUGCUCCUCUGACGUUAGCGGCGGACGGGUGAGUAACACGUGGAUAACCUACCUAUAAGACUGGGAUAACUUCGGGAAACCGGAGCUAAUACCGGAUAAUAUAUUGAACCGCAUGGUUCAAUAGUGAAAGACGGUUUUGCUGUCACUUAUAGAUGGAUCCGCGCCGCAUUAGCUAGUUGGUAAGGUAACGGCUUACCAAGGCAACGAUGCGUAGCCGACCUGAGAGGGUGAUCGGCCACACUGGAACUGAGACACGGUCCAGACUCCUACGGGAGGCAGCAGUAGGGAAUCUUCCGCAAAGGGCGAAAGCCUGACGGAGCAACGCCGCGUGAGUGAUGAAGGUCUUCGGAUCGUAAAACUCUUUUAUUAGGGAAGAACAAAUGUGUAAGAAACUAUGCACGUCUUGACGGUACCGAAUCAGAAAGCCACGGCUAACUACGUG
This 497-nucleotide ribosomal RNA is filed under the name uncultured bacterium. Its description in RNAcentral is "partial 16S ribosomal RNA". It matches the Rfam family "Bacterial small subunit ribosomal RNA", at positions 28 to 507 of the family's 1533-position model. The record is from RNAcentral.